AUGCGGGCGUGGUCGACGGCGGCGCGGGAGAGGGAGGGCGCCGCCGCGGCAGGGGGGCUCGUGCCCACGCCGACGUUUGACCGGUCCCCGAUCCUGCAGCACCCCAUCGCCGCGGAGCUGUACCGAACGUUCUUGCGCUUCUUCGCGCCGGCGCUGCCUCUGCUCAGGUCACCAUCCAGUUCCAGUACAUCUUCCACGGUGGACACGGCGCCGCAGAUCCGAAGGACCUUCGUGCUCACCGCCGACCGGAUCCGGUCCCUCAAGCAGCAGCGCACUCCGCCAAGCGGAACUGCUGACCAGGGCCAGUCGCCGGCGAGCACCUACGUCGCUAUCUUGUCCCUCGCGUGGGCGUCCCUGGUCCGCGCCAAGUCCAUGGACCACGCGGACGACACCCACUUCCUUGUCGCCGCGGACUGCCGGCGCCGGCUGCGGCCGCCGCCGGGCGAGGGCUACUUCGGGAACUGCAUCCGGCCGUGCUUCGCGAGGGCCAACGUGGGCGAGCUGUGCGGCCAGGGCGGGGUCGCGCGCGCGGCGGCGGCCAUCCGGGAGCGCGUCCGCGAGGACCUGGAGCGGGCCUCGGACCCGCUGGAGUGGAUGGAGCGCGUGCUGGAUGUCGUCCGUGGCAUCCCCAAGGAGAGGCUGACCUCGGUGGGGUCGUCGCACCGGUUCAUGGCCUACUAG
RNAcentral lists this ribosomal RNA (681 nucleotides) under Triticum aestivum (bread wheat). Its description in RNAcentral is "partial small subunit ribosomal RNA". Lineage: Eukaryota; Viridiplantae; Streptophyta; Magnoliopsida; Poales; Poaceae. The record is from RNAcentral.